This is an unclassified non-coding RNA of Macaca fascicularis (crab-eating macaque), 153 nucleotides long. It matches the Rfam family "Metazoan signal recognition particle RNA". From Rfam's summary of the family: The signal recognition particle (SRP) is a universally conserved ribonucleoprotein. It is involved in the co-translational targeting of proteins to membranes. The record is from Ensembl. NCBI's taxonomy places the organism in Eukaryota, Metazoa, Chordata, Mammalia, Primates, Cercopithecidae.
GCCAGAAGUGAUAGCUCACAUCUGUAAUCCCAGCUACUCGGGAGGCUGAGGCAGGAGGAUCAUUUAAGCCCAGGAUGUCGAGGCUGUAGUGAGCCAUGGUGGUACCACUGCCCUCUAGCCUAGCCUGAGUGAUAGAGUGAGACCCUGUCUCUU